ACCACGGUCUUACAUACAGUAGCGCGAUUCUGUAACUCGUUAUGCUGUCGUUAUGGACUCAUAACGACAAGUUUCGUUAUGCUACCGACCGCGUCGCUAUUAUAACGACAAAUGCGAUUCUGUACACUAUUCUUAGCGAGUUUUGUCGUUAUUAGUAACGAAAAGUGUCGUUAUGAUGUCGUUACGGUGCGAGCGGAUAGCGAGGCUCAGAGACCCCCUCGGUACGCUAUAACGACGAUUAUAACGACACUUUGCACACGAGCUAGAGGAGUGGUGUGCGUUUCCCAUAUUUUUCUCGACUCCGAGAAAGUGCUUCGAAAAGUGCUCCGAAAGUGAAAAAUAAUUACGACGUUUGAAAUAACAAGUGAUGCUGGAUAUCCGUUGGAGCCUUGGCUGUUAACACCUCUGGCCAAUUUUCCUGAAGAUACGCGACAACAUCAAUAUACACAACAACUAUGUAAGGCUAGAAGCGUCGUCGAGCGGUUUUUUGGAGUUUUUAAAUCUGUAUGGAGAUGCUUGUCAUACCAGCGAGUCUUGAUGUACGAACCAGCGUUCGCAGCGAAAAUUGUUAAUGCGUGUGCAGUACUGCACAACA
RNAcentral lists this long non-coding RNA (595 nucleotides) under Neodiprion lecontei (redheaded pine sawfly). Its description in RNAcentral is "uncharacterized LOC124293601, transcript variant X1". Lineage: Eukaryota; Metazoa; Arthropoda; Insecta; Hymenoptera; Diprionidae. The record is from RNAcentral.